Long non-coding RNA from Gasterosteus aculeatus aculeatus (three-spined stickleback), 1024 nucleotides. The record is from Ensembl. NCBI's taxonomy places the organism in Eukaryota, Metazoa, Chordata, Actinopteri, Perciformes, Gasterosteidae.
GGUAGAUCAGAUGUGUCCUGCAAAUCGGCGCCUGGAGGGCUGCGUCACUCGACCCCGUUCGGAGGAGGAAAGCGGCCGAAGUGACGUACGCUGCCGACGAAUGCGUCCUUAAGCAUGCAGCCUUGGGAAUUGAGACGUGCCCACAGCAUCACGUGCUUGAGAAGGUAGAGGCGGAAGUGAAAACUCUUAUCUUCCGUUCCCGUCCUUUGCUGGUCACCCUUCCUCGGAUAUUCUACACCAACUGGAGCUGGCGCUGCUGUGUUGAGGCUCCUCGGGACGGCGAUGGAUUGCGGUGGAGCCAGUGAGCAGCCCGGACGAGGUAGAAGACCCGGUCAGCCCUCUGGGACCCCCGUUGCUGCCAAGGGCCAAGCAGCACAGAGCGGUCAGAGGUCCCAUGUCAAGAUAACUCCCUUCCACAGCUCACCCAUACUCAACAGCAAUGAUGCCCUCGGCAGCAAAGGGCCAGGAGCCGCCUCUGGGAGACCGCUGGCUGCUCCGGGGGGCCAGUUUCUGGACACACUCGGAAGUCUGAAUGUCAGACGGAGACUCUCUGCUCCUGGAAGCCACGAGCAACCAACUCCCACUUCAGGAUCUAUCCCGACCUUGACUGGAGAAAACGCACAUGUAAGUCCAAGGAUGUGUUGCCAAAUGUUUGCACAACUCCAAGCAUCUGUGAUGUGUCUUGUAAAUUCUCAGUGAUAAUUGUGAUUGAAUCAAUGAAGAGAAUUACAGUUUUAGAUUUCCAGUUUUUGACAAGCAAACAGACUAAUGUUAUUCAAAUUUGCCUGGUGUAUUAUGAAGAUGAGAAAGUGUGGCCAAUAUUUUGGCUGGUACUGUAUAUUAAAACUGUCAAUGUUGGCCGCACAUAAUAAUUUAACACUCCAUGCUUUACAUAUAUAUAUAUAUAUAUUCUUUUUUUAAAUAUACCUAGUUAAGAGUUGCCAUUUGAUUUUUUUUUUCAAUUACUAAAUACAUAAUAAUGUAUACACAAUAUUCAUAUAAUCACGUUAGACCAAAAACCAAA